This 857-nucleotide ribosomal RNA is filed under the name Gyromitra splendida. Its description in RNAcentral is "partial large subunit ribosomal RNA". It matches the Rfam family "Eukaryotic large subunit ribosomal RNA", at positions 71 to 941 of the family's 3401-position model. The record is from RNAcentral. RNAcentral also lists the same sequence under 1 other name. Lineage: Eukaryota; Fungi; Ascomycota; Pezizomycetes; Pezizales; Discinaceae.
GGGAUUGCCUCAGUAACGGCGAGUGAAGCGGCAACAGCUCAAAUUUUAAAGCUGGCGUCUUUGGCGUCCGCGUUGUAAUUUGGAGAGGCAUCUUCGGUUUGGGCGCCAGCCUAUGUUCCUUGGAACAGGACGUCACAGAGGGUGAGAAUCCCGUGCCUGGCUGGCUGUCCCUUUCCAUGUGAAGUGCCUUCGACGAGUCGAGUUGUUUGGGAAUGCAGCUCAAAAUGGGUGGUAAAUUUCAUCUAAAGCUAAAUAUUGGCGGGAGACCGAUAGCGCACAAGUAGAGUGAUCGAAAGAUGAAAAGCACUUUGAAAAUAGAGUUAAAAAGUACGUGAAAUUGUUGAAAGGGAAGCGCUUGAGACCAGACUCGGCCGGAGAUGAUCAGCCGUCCUUCUGGGCGGUGCACUCGUUUCCGGCCGGGCCAGCAUCGGUUGAGACGGCGGGAUAAAGGCCCGGGGAAUGUGGCUCCUUUCGGGGAGUGUUAUAGCCCCGGGCGCAAUGCCGCCAGCCUCGACCGAGGACCGCGCUUAAUUGCUAGGAUGCUGGCGUAAUGGUCUUCAGCGACCCGUCUUGAAACACGGACCAAGGAGUCUAACAUCUAUGCGAGUGUUUGGGUGUCAAACCCUUGCGCGUAAUGAAAGUGAACGGAGGUGGGAACCCCUCGCGGGGCGCACCAUCGACCGGUCCUGAUGUCUUCGGAUGGAUCUGAGUAGGAGCAUAGCUGUUGGGACCCGAAAGAUGGUGAACUAUGCCUGAAUAGGGUGAAGCCAGAGGAAACUCUGGUGGAGGCUCGCAGCGGUUCUGACGUGCAAAUCGAUCGUCAAAUUUGGGUAUAGGGGCGAAAGACUAAUCGAACC